Small nucleolar RNA from Octodon degus (degu), 133 nucleotides. The record is from Ensembl. NCBI's taxonomy places the organism in Eukaryota, Metazoa, Chordata, Mammalia, Rodentia, Octodontidae.
CCCGCCUACAAAGGCAUAUCUUGGGUUCCUUGUCUUUGGACACUCAAUUUUUUUGGAGACAAAAAAAUUGUGGAUUUCGCGACAUCUGGGCCAGCUUGUUCCCUGCAGGUUCCAGAUCAGCCAUCUCACAUAA